UUGGAUAUGAUGAUUUUUUCCCCAAAUGAUCGAAACUGAACAUACUGUGCGACUUUUCAAUUCUCUUCCAGAGAAUUUAAGCCAGAUCUCUGAUCCGU
This is a small nucleolar RNA of Mercurialis annua (annual mercury), 98 nucleotides long. RefSeq annotates it as small nucleolar RNA Z103. The transcript has a single exon. Lineage: Eukaryota; Viridiplantae; Streptophyta; Magnoliopsida; Malpighiales; Euphorbiaceae. The record is from RefSeq and is a predicted model, not a curated record.